CGAACGCUGGCGGCAUGCCUAACACAUGCAAGUCGAACGAGACCUUCGGGUCUAGUGGCGCACGGGUGCGUAACGCGUGGGAACCUGCCCUUAGGUUCGGAAUAACUCCCCGAAAGGGGUGCUAAUACCGGAUAAUGUCUUCGGACCAAAGAAUUAUCGCCUUUGGAUGGGCCCGCGUUGGAUUAGCUAGUUGGUAGGGUAAAAGCCUACCAAGGCGACGAUCCAUAGCUGGUCUGAGAGGAUGAUCAGCCACACUGGGACUGAGACACGGCCCAGACUCCUACGGGAGGCAGCAGUGGGGAAUAUUGGACAAUGGGCGAAAGCCUGAUCCAGCAAUGCCGCGUGAGUGAUGAAGGCCUUAGGGUUGUAAAGCUCUUUUACCCGGGAUGAUAAUGACAGUACCAGGAGAAUAAGCUCCGGCUAACUCCGUG
RNAcentral lists this ribosomal RNA (431 nucleotides) under uncultured bacterium. Its description in RNAcentral is "partial 16S ribosomal RNA". It matches the Rfam family "Bacterial small subunit ribosomal RNA", at positions 30 to 507 of the family's 1533-position model. The record is from RNAcentral.